Molecule: long non-coding RNA, 367 nt
Filed under: Ovis aries (sheep)
Lineage: Eukaryota; Metazoa; Chordata; Mammalia; Artiodactyla; Bovidae
Description: lncRNA (ENSOARG00000026561.1)
Source: RNAcentral
AUAUUCCCCUUUCACUUAUGAAGAAUGGGGAUACCAGAAAGACAUUGUCUAGAUUAUUCAGUAAAGCACUGGGAAAGCCUUGAAUCCAUUCAUAAAACUUGAAGGCAAAUAAACGGGAAGGACAACCAGAACACUAGCAGCUGUAGGAGAACAUCAGAGGACCUAACAUGUGUGAGCGCAGUACCAGAGCAGGUAAGAGAGAACCAGGUCAGUUGAUCACAUGAAGAAUGAAGACUUCUCAAAAGUUUUGAAAGAUAUUAACCCACAUAUCCAAGAAACUUAGUGAAAUUUAAACAAGGUACAUACAAACUUAACCACACUUAGAGGCAUUGUGAAGAUGUCAUCAGACAUGUGAAGAUGAAGGUAG